AUUGAACGCUGGCGGAAUGCCUUACACAUGCAAGUCGAGCGGGGUGAUGGUGCUUGCACUAUCACUUAGCGGCGGACGGGUGAGUAAUGCUUAGGAAUCUGCCUAUUAGUGGGGGACAACAUCUCGAAAGGGAUGCUAAUACCGCAUACGUCCUACGGGAGAAAGCAGGGGAUCACUUGUGACCUUGCGCUAAUAGAUGAGCCUAAGUCGGAUUAGCUAGUUGGUGGGGUAAAGGCCUACCAAGGCGACGAUCUGUAGCGGGUCUGAGAGGAUGAUCAGCCACACUGGGACUGAGACACGGCCCAGACUCCUACGGGAGGCAGCAGUGGGGAAUAUUGGACAAUGGGGGGAACCCUGAUCCAGCCAUGCCGCGUGUGUGAAGAAGGCCUUAUGGUUGUAAAGCACUUUAAGCGAGGAGGAGGCUCUUUUGGUUAAUACCCAAGAUGAGUGGACGUUACUCGCAGAAUAAGCACCGGCUAACUCUGUGCCAGCCGCCGCGGUAA
RNAcentral lists this ribosomal RNA (503 nucleotides) under uncultured bacterium. RNAcentral's name for it is "partial 16S ribosomal RNA". It matches the Rfam family "Bacterial small subunit ribosomal RNA", at positions 30 to 523 of the family's 1533-position model. The record is from RNAcentral.